Molecule: non-coding RNA, 73 nt
Organism: Camelus dromedarius (Arabian camel)
Lineage: Eukaryota; Metazoa; Chordata; Mammalia; Artiodactyla; Camelidae
Source: the annotation of a RefSeq genome assembly
GGAGGGUAUAGCUCAGUGGUAGAGCACAUGCUUUGCAGGCAUGAGGUCAUGGGUUCGAUCCCCAGUACCUCUG